UACAGAGGCCUCGAGCGUUAGGCGGAAUCACUGGGCUUAAAGCGUGUGUAGGUGGAUGCCUAAGUACCUUGUGAAAUCCCAUGGCUUAACCAUGGAAUUGCUUGGUAUACUGGGUGUCUUGAGCCACUCAGGGGCGAGCGGAACAAACGGUGGAGCGGUGAAAUGCGUAGAUAUCGGAAGGAACAUCAGUGGCGAAAGCGACUUCCUGGACCAAUACUGACGCUCAUGUGCGAAAGCGUGGGGAGCAAACAGG
This 253-nucleotide ribosomal RNA is filed under the name uncultured bacterium. Its description in RNAcentral is "partial 16S ribosomal RNA". It matches the Rfam family "Bacterial small subunit ribosomal RNA", at positions 524 to 776 of the family's 1533-position model. The record is from RNAcentral.